UGGGGAAUAUUGGACAAUGGGCGCAAGCCUGAUCCAGCAAUGCCGCGUGUGUGAAGAAGGCCUUCGGGUUGUAAAGCACUUUUAUCAGGAGCGAAACGCUGUCGGCUAAUACCCGGCGGAACUGACGGUACCUGAGGAAUAAGCACCGGCUAACUUCGUGCCAGCAGCCGCGGUAAUACGAAGGGUGCAAGCGUUAAUCGGAAUUACUGGGCGUAAAGCGUGCGUAGGCGGUUUCUUAAGUCUGCUGUGAAAUCCCCGGGCUCAACCUGGGAAUGGCAGUGGAUACUGGGAGGCUAGAGUGUGUCAGAGGGUGGUGGAAUUCCCGGUGUAGCGGUGAAAUGCGUAGGGAUCGGGAGGAACAUCAGUGGCGAAGGCGGCCACCUGGGACAACACUGACGCUGAGGCACGAAAGCGUGGGGAGCAAACAGGAUUAGAUACCCUGGUAGUCCACGCCCUAAACGAUGCGAACUGGAUGUUGGUCUCAACUCGGAGAUCAGUGUCGAAGCUAACGCGUUAAGUUCGCCGCCUGGGGAGUACGGUCGCAAGACUGAAACUCAAAUGAAUUGAC
RNAcentral lists this ribosomal RNA (568 nucleotides) under uncultured bacterium. Its description in RNAcentral is "partial 16S ribosomal RNA". It matches the Rfam family "Bacterial small subunit ribosomal RNA", at positions 355 to 914 of the family's 1533-position model. The record is from RNAcentral.